CUAUAACGGUCCUAAGGUAGCGAAAUUCCUUGUCGGGUAAGUUCCGACCCGCACGAAAGGCGUAACGAUUUGGGCACUGUCUCAACAACAGACUCGGUGAAAUUGUAAUUCCGGUGAAGAUGCCGGAUACCUGCGACAGGACGGAAAGACCCCAUGGAGCUUUACUGUAGCUUGACAUUGGGUCUUGGUACUACAUGUACAGGAUAGGUGGGAGGCGUUGAAACCAGGACGACAGUUUUGGCGGAGCCAUCCUUGGGAUACCACCCUUGUAGUACUGGGACUCUAACCAUAGGCCAUGAAUCUGGUCU
RNAcentral lists this ribosomal RNA (308 nucleotides) under Clostridioides difficile. Its description in RNAcentral is "bacterial LSU rRNA". It matches the Rfam family "Bacterial large subunit ribosomal RNA", at positions 1940 to 2246 of the family's 2925-position model. The record is from RNAcentral. Lineage: Bacteria; Bacillati; Bacillota; Clostridia; Peptostreptococcales; Peptostreptococcaceae.